Molecule: transfer RNA, 54 nt
Filed under: Tursiops aduncus (Indo-pacific bottlenose dolphin)
Lineage: Eukaryota; Metazoa; Chordata; Mammalia; Artiodactyla; Delphinidae
Description: partial tRNA-Pro
Source: RNAcentral
CAAGGAAUAGUUUAUGUAGAAUUCCAGCUUUGGGUGUUGGUGGUGAGGUUUAAU